Molecule: ribosomal RNA, 406 nt
Filed under: uncultured bacterium
Lineage: Bacteria
Description: partial 16S ribosomal RNA
Rfam family: Bacterial small subunit ribosomal RNA
Source: RNAcentral
AUUGAACGCUGGCGGCAGGCCUAACACAUGCAAGUCGAGCGAGCGGCGGACGGGUGAGUAAUGUAUGGGGAUCUGCCCGAUAGAGGGGGAUAACUACUGGAAACGGUGGCUAAUACCGCAUACUAUGGGGUGAACCAAUAUGGGCUUAGCUAGUAGGUGGUGUAAAGGCUCACCUAGGCGACGAUCUCUAGCUGGUCUGAGGGGAUGAUCAGCCACACUGGGACUUGGACCAGGCCCAGACUCCUACGGGAGGCAGCAGUGGGGAAUUUUGCACAAUGGGGGAAAGCCGGAUGCAGCCAGGCCGCGUGUAUGAAGAAGGCCGUAGGGUUUUAAAGUACUUUCAGCGGGGAGGCGGUACCCGCAAAAGAAGCACCGGCUAACUCCGGGCCAGCAGCCGCGGUAAUAC